UUCAAGUGUGUCAGUAUGCUCUUGCUCAUAAUUUUUACUAUAUCUUGUUACUAAAAUUGCAAGUUAAUUGCAAAUUACUCAGAGCUUGGAUUUUCUCCUCCAGUUGGUUAAAGGAAACCUAACGGGAAGGCAGAUUUGUUGGUAAGUUCGAAUGGCUUGCUAGUAUCAAAGCGUAAUGUAUUUUCUUCCACUUAUGUUUUUCAUCCUACCUAAUUUUUGUGAUUGAUUAAUUCCUUAUUGAUAUGCAGACGAGUUUCCUUACAUACUAAAUGAUGAUGACUACAUAUCGAAGUAUCGAGCCAGCCUAAAAGCUGCAGUUCUCAGGGCAAAAGCAUGUUCUUGAGCUUUAUUUGAAGGGUAUGAUGUUUGCAUAUCAGCUCACGCUCAACCACCACCUGAAACUCUAUCCUUGAUAGUCAAGUCAACCGGUGGAAAUGUGAUUCAUGAGCUAGAUAAAGUAAACAACGUAUGGAAGACGAUCUUUGUGGCUUGUGAGGAAGACGUGGAGGAAGCCUUGGUGGCCGUAGAAAAAGGGAUAUGGACUUUCAACGUUGAAUGGCUAAUGGCAUGUAUAAUGAGACCAGAAGUAGACCUGGAGGCCCCUCAAUUUGCUGAGUCCCUAUGAGAAACAAGGUCACCCUAACUUUCAGUUUUGAACAAGCAGCAGCCAGCCAUUUCGUCCUUGUGUAAAUCCACUCUUUUCUCAACUCACUCUAAUUUUGUACAUAAACAAACUCUGAUCGCUCCAUCUCUAUAUUCAUCAGUACAUAAAAGACGAUAAGUUUAUUCAUGGAGAAAGUUGGAUGUAAGUAUGUUUUAGGAAUGGUCCUUCAUAUAGUAACUUUGGGAAUUGUAAAAAUGAGGUAAUGAAGUUCUAUCAAGUUGAAUGUUCUUGUUUAUGUUGGAUGAGACUGAUUCUUGGAUACCAGAAUUAACUUGAAGUACGUGUUUGAGUUCCAUUGGAGUGAUUAGAGAAAAAAUGUUCCUUUAAAAAGGGUAAUUUUUUUA
Cucumis sativus (cucumber) is the source of this 1008-nucleotide long non-coding RNA. RefSeq lists it as uncharacterized. Lineage: Eukaryota; Viridiplantae; Streptophyta; Magnoliopsida; Cucurbitales; Cucurbitaceae. The transcript is spliced from 2 exons. The record is from RefSeq and is a predicted model, not a curated record.